AGAGGUUAAGGCCUGGCUUCUGCUCCCGUCGCGUCACGGCGCGUCCGGGUUCAAAUCCGCCUGCCGACCUCUCGGGGUGUUUGAGAGGUGAUGAAAUGGGAGGUGGCCCCCCAUCUUGUGGACGGUGUAGGACGUGAUAAAAUCAACUCGCGAGCUGACCAGGAACUAAGUUGACGCGCCGUUGAUCCGCUAGAUUUGGUUGGAUGCUGGUGGUGAGUUGCCAAACUCAAAGAGUACACUCUGAAGUCGGAUGGGGUGAAUGGCUUCGGGUGCCCCUCUAGCAGGGGAGAGCAGGGAAUUGCCUCGGGUAGGAGGCCACUGGUGAAGCUUAACCACCCUGUAACAACAUCAACUCCCCAUAAUCAAUCCCCUCACGUUGCUCGAAACCCUUGGCAACUAAACGCGCCUUAAAACGCUCCACGCUGCCAUCAUCGCUGUACACCUUGUAUACCCAACGACACGGCAACAAACGAGUACCAGGAGGUGGCUUCUUCAGCUCCCAAGUACUAUUAGCCAUCUGGGCGGCGAUCUCCUCGUCCAUCGCACGCCGCCAGUCGUCUGCAUGUGGACUUGCAAUUGCUUCCUCAAACGAAUUAGGCUCAGGAAUACCAGCAGAGAAAGCAGCGUUAACGCGACCAGUGACAGUGCGACCAGGUUCGUUUCGCCACCAUUCGCCAGGGCGUUUACGCUCUCUAACUGGGUACCUAGUUCCCGCCAUUUCCACAUCAGGCUGAUUGAUUCCUUGCCCGUUCGCACUGCUGGAAGGUCCAGCCCCAGCCGGCGCCCCCUCGCCACCCAAAUGCGGCGAUCCCUCGCCGACGGUGCUACCUGGUGUCCCUUCGCCAGCCCUAGGCAGCGAUCCCUCACCAGAUAAACUAGUGUGAAACUCCUCCUCCUCGUCGGCAUCGGACUCAUAGUCGGAGUCCCCGGCAUUACGCCGCCGGCCGACAUUAGACUCGUCANNNNNNNNNNNNNNNNNNNNNNNNNNNNNNNNNNNNNNNNNNNNNNNNNNGUGACAACCCUGCUUGACGACCAUACUGGUCUUUCAGCUGUUGCGUUUACAGCGACCAAGGAGGAGGUCUACCAGAAGAUGGUGGUAAUGAUAGCGGAACUGGAGCGCGCUACUGGCAGGCAGGUUAAGGAGGUGCGUACAGAUCGUGGCGGGGAGUUCGUUAAUACUCGCACGAAGGCCUAUUUCGCUUCCAGGGGUAUUCUACACGGAACUACGGUAGGCUACACCCCUGAGCAGAACGGAGCUGCAGAACGUUUAAAUCGCACUCUUUUGGACAAGACUAGGGCUAUGCUAGUUGAGUCUGGACUGCCUAAAUCAUUAUGGGCGGAGGCGUUAGCGACAGCCAACUAUCUUAGGAAUGUGUCGCCAACUGCUGGGUCAACCGUCACUCCGUACGAAGCUUUCUUUAACGUUCGUCCGAACGUCAGUCACCUGCGAGUCUUUGGAUGCGUUGCCUACGUCCACGUACCCGACGUCAAGCGCGACAAGUUCGACCCGGUGAGCAGGCGUGGAAUACUUGUCGGAUACGGGAACGGUGGACAGUAUCGUGUACUAUACGAGGACGGCAUUAUUGCCGUAGUUUCCAACAUUCGUUUUGAUGAAUCUAACGUCGGCCGGCGGCGUAAUGCCGGGGACUCUGAUUAUGAGUCCGAUGCCGACGAGGAGGAGGAUUUUCGCACUAGUUUGCCUGGUGAGGGAUCGCUGCCUAAGGCUGGCGAAGGGAUACCAGGUAGCACCGUCGGCGAGGGAUCGCCACACUUGGGUGGCGAGGGGGCGCCGGCUGGGGCUGGACCUUCCAGCAGUGCGAACGGGCAAGGAAUCAAUCAGCCUGAUGUGGAAAUGGCGGGAACUAGGUACCCAGUUAGAGAGCGUAAACGCCCUGGCGAAUGGUGGCGAAACGAACCUGGUCGCACAGUCACUGGUCGCGUUAACGCUGCUUUCUCUGCUGGUAUUCCUGAGCCUAAUUCGUUUGAGGAAGCAAUUGCAAGUCCACAUGCAGACGACUGGCGGCGUGCGAUGGACGAGGAGAUCGCCGCCCAGAUGGCUAAUAGUACUUGGGAGUUGAAGAAGCCACCUCCUGGUACUCGUUUGUUGCCGUGUCGUUGGGUAUAUAAGGUUAAGUACAGCGAUGACGGCAGCGUGGAGCGUUUUAAGGCGCGUUUAGUUGCCAAGGGUUUCGAGCAACGUGAGGGGAUUGAUUAUGGGGAGUUGUUUGCCCCUACCUCUCGUGGUUCGUCGUUGCGUGCUUUAUUAGCAGUUGCCGCAGCCCGGAACAUGACGGUACAUCAGCUCGAUGUGUCUACUGCGUUUCUGAAUGGUGAGCUGAAGGAGGAGUUGUGGAUGGAGCAACCGCCUGGGUAUGCAUCCAGUGACCGGUCGCUUGCGUGCAAGCUGCAGAAGUCUAUUUACGGUUAAAGCAGGCACCCCGUUGCUGGUAUGAAAAACUAUCAGCAGAGUUCGCCAAAUUGGGUCUUUAUCCUUCGAAGUCUGAUCNNNNNNNNNNNNNNNNNNNNNNNNNNNNNNNNNNNNNNNNNNNNNNNNNNNNNNNNNNNNNNNNNNNNNNNNNNGAACUAGGAUUGCGUUUUGGGGGUGUUGGCGACGUUGCUAUGUCCGGGUACAGUGAUUCGGACUGGGCAGGAGACCCAGUUACGCGGCGUUCUACUUCCGGUUACGUAUUCACUCUUAAUGGGGCUGCGAUUAGCUGGAGCAGCCAACUUCAACGUACUGUGGCGGCUUCGUCGGUGGAGGCUGAGUACCAAGCUACAGCAGCGGCUGUUCGUGAGGCUUUGUGGCUUCGCAAGCUGAUGGUUGAUUUGAGCUUGCCUGAGAGCGCGGUGAAAAUCCAGAUAGACUCCCAGGGGGCGCUUAGCUUGGGAAACAACCCGAUUACGUCUGCUCGGUCGAAGCACAUCAACGUGCAGCAUCACAUAGUGCGUGAGAGGGUGAAUAGUGGUGAGGUGCAGUUGGAAUACUGCCCUACGGAGUGGAUGGUUGCGGAUGUGCUAACGAAGGCUCUGGGCGAGGUGAAGUUCAAACGUUGCCGAGAUGCGAUGGGCCUUGUGUGUGAAGUGUGCAGAUGAACUUGGUACUCGUUGGGAUACGGCCCGAGGGGGCGUGUUGAGGAAACGGUCCUCUCCCAACUCGUGUGGUUGUCGACCAGGGGAUUUGACCCCGGGUCUGCGCCUGACUAAUGGGGAAGACUUACCCCAGAACCUUAUGGGCUACCGAUGCAUAUCCGGUAGCUAAGUGAUAGACAUUAGGGCACCGUCAGGACGGCGCAGUGAGAUCGCGGAAUGUACGUGCAGUUAGAUCGCGGAAUGUACGAGUUUUCCGCUAGCGCCGGUAUUUAGGGCGGUGACUGCGCUUAUUUGUUUAUCUCACAACGAUCGGUAUUCCUACAAGGAAUCUCCUCAAGUCCUGCCGAACGCUAACAAUACUCUUUACAUUACUUGUAACAGUUUAUCGUGCUAAAUAUCUUCGCCACCGGCAAUCCUUCCGAAAUAACAAUCAGCGUUAGCCGUCACCGUCGCCAAUUCUUCAAUAGUUCCCGCCAUUUCCACAUCAGGCUGAUUGAUUUCUUGCCCGUUCGCACUGCUGGAAGGUCCAGCCCCAGCCGGCGCCCCCUCGCCACCCAAAUGCGGCGAUCCCUGGCCGACGGUGCUACCUGGUGUCCCUUCGCCAGCCCUAGGCAGCGAUCCCUCACCAGAUAAACUAGUGUGAAACUCCUCCACCUCGUCGGCAUCGGACUCAUAAUCGGAGUCCCCGGCAUUACGCCGCCGGCCGACAUUAGACUCAUCGAAACGAACGUAAGAAACUACGGCAAUAAUGCCGUCCUCGUAUAGCACACGAUACUGUCCUCCGUUCCCGUAUCCGACAAGUAUUCCACAUCUGCUCACCCCUGCUCACCGGGUCGAACUUGUCGCGCUUGACGUCGGGUACGUGGACGUAGGCAACGCAUCCAAAGACUCGCAGGUGACUGACGUUCGGACGAACGUUAAAGAAAGCUUCGUACGGAGUGACGGUUGACCCAGCAGUUGGCGACACAUGCCUAAGAUAGUUGGCUGUCGCUAACGCCUCCGCCCAUAAUGACUUAGGUAGACCGGACUCGACAAGCAUAGCCCUAGUUUUGUCUAGGAGAGUGCGAUUUAAGCGUUCCGCUGCUCCGUUCUGCUCAGGGGUGUAGCCUACCGUAGUCCCGUGUACAAUACCCCUGGAAGCGAAAUAGGCCUUCGUGCGAGUAUUAACGAACUCCCCGCCACGAUCUGUACACACCUCCUUAACCUGCCUGCCAGUAGCGCGCUCCAGUUCCGCUAUCAUUACCACCAUCUUCUGAUAGACCUCCUCCUUGGUCGCUGUAAAACAACAGCUGAAAGACCGGUAUAAUCGUCAAGCAGAGUUAUCACGUAACACGAACCACUAGGCGAAGGUUCAGGCAUAGGUCCACACACAUCCAUUAACAGGCAGGCGGCUGGCAGAGGUUAAGGCCUGGCUUCUGCUCCCGACGCGUCCCGGCGCGUCUGGGUUCAAAUCCGCCUGCCGACCUCUCGGGGUGUUUGAGAGGUGAUGGGAGGUGGCCCCCCAUCUUGUGGACGGUGUAGGACGUGAUAAAAUCAACUCGCGAGCCGACCAGGAACUAAGUUGACGCGCCGUUGAUCCGCUAGACUUGGUUGGAUGCUGGUGGUGAGUUGCCAAACUCAAAGAGUACACUCUGAAGUCGGAUGGGGUGAAUGGCUUAGGGUGCCCCUCUAGCAGGGGAGAGCAGGGAAUUGCCUCGGGAAGGAGGCCACUGGUGAAGCGUAACCACCCUGUAACAACAUCCAUGUGAACAAGUGCUAGUGGCUGGGCUGCCUUGUGCCCUGUUAACGGAAAAGGACCUCGUGUCUGUUUUGCAUAAACGCAAGUCUCACACACACACGCGCUGGCUCAUUGUAUGCUGUGUCGGUCAACAUCGAAUCCAGUUACCAUAUCAUGACGCAGCAGCGCCUCAAGGUUGCUGUAUCCUAAGUGGCCAUACCUUCGGUGCCAAAGUGCUGCACGUUCAGCUCCGAUACCCACGGCAGCACACACUGCAUCACCACCAGAAGGUAUCCUGUUGUCUUCACCUGUCCGCCGCCGAAGACCACACUGCCUCCACGAUCAUCAAUGAUGCGGACCGAUAUGAUUUUGGCGGUGGCCUCCUCAUCGACGUAGACCUUCUUGAAAGUGAUGGCCUGUUUAUCAUUGACGUUAGACCGAAUCAUAAGCGUGCCAACUUCAGUCGGCCGAAGAGACUGUCCCUUGAUGCCCAUGAUGUUGAAGCGCUCCCAUGGCUCCAAUAACCGCACGUUGGAAAGUUCUGAGCGGUCAUACGUUAUGUGGUGAGUGGCGGCUGAGUCCAGAAACCAUUCCGUCGGACGCUCGCUGUUGUAUGUAUUGGAGAAUUGGCGACGGUGACGGCUAACGCUGAUUGUUAUCUCGGAAGAAUUGCCGGCGGCGAAGAUAUUUAGCACGAUAAAACGUUACAAGUUAUGUAAAGAGUAUUAUAAGCGUUCGGCAGGACUUGAGGAGAUUCCUGGUAGGAAUACCGAUCGUUGUGAGAUAAACAAAUAAGCGCAGUCACCGCCCUAAAUACCAGCGCUAGCGGAAAACUCGUACAUUCCGCGAUCUAACUGCACGUACAUUCCGCGAUCUCACUGCGCCGUCCUGACGGUGCCCAAUGUCUAUCACUUAGCUACCGGAUAUGCAUCGGUAGCCCAUAAGGUUCUGGGGUAAGUCUUCCCCAUUAGUCAGGCGCAGACCCGGGGUCAAAUCCCCUGGUCGACAAACACACGAGUUGGGAGAGGACUGUUUCCUCAACACGCCCCCUCGGGCCGUAUCCCAACGAGUACCAAGUUCAUCUGCACACUUCACACAAGGCCCAUCGCAUCUCGGCAACGUUUGAACUUCACCUCGCCCAGAGCCUUCGUUAGCACAUCCGCAACCAUCCACUCCGUAGGGCAGUAUUCCAACUGCACCUCACCACUAUUCACCCUCUCACGCACUAUGUGAUGCUGCACGUCGAUGUGCUUCGACCGAGCAGACGUAAUCGGGUUAUUUCCCCAGCUAAGCGCCCCCUGGGAAUCUAUUUGGAUUCUGAUAGCGCUCUCAGGCAAACCCAAAUCAACCAUCAGCUUGCGAAGCCACAAAGCCUCGCGAACAGCUGCUGCUGUCGCUUGAUACUCGGCCUCCACCGACGAAGCCGCCACAGUACGUUGAAGUUGGCUGCUCCAGCUAAUCGCAGCCCCAUUAAGAGGAAAACGAGCCGAAGANNNNNNNNNNNNNNNNNNNNNNNNNNNNNNNNNNNNNNNNNNNNNNNNNNUUCGCCACCGGCAAUCCUUCCGAAAUAACAAUCAGCGUUAGCCGUCACCGUCGCCAAUUCUUCAAUAGUUCCCGCCAUUUCCACAUCAGGCUGAUUGAUUUCUUGCCCGUUCGCACUGCUGGAAGGUCCAGCCCCAGCCGGCGCCCCCUCGCCACCCAAAUGCGGCGAUCCCUGGCCGACGGUGCUACCUGGUGUCCCUUCGCCAGCCCUAGGCAGCGAUCCCUCACCAGAUAAACUAGUGUGAAACUCCUCCACCUCGUCGGCAUCGGACUCAUAAUCGGAGUCCCCGGCAUUACGCCGCCGGCCGACAUUAGACUCAUCGAAACGAACGUAAGAAACUACGGCAAUAAUGCCGUCCUCGUAUAGCACACGAUACUGUCCUCCGUUCCCGUAUCCGACAAGUAUUCCACGCCUGCUCACCCCUGCUCACCGGGUCGAACUUGUCGCGCUUGACGUCGGGUACGUGGACGUAGGCAACGCAUCCAAAGACUCGCAGGUGACUGACGUUCGGACGAACGUUAAAGAAAGCUUCGUACGGAGUGACGGUUGACCCAGCAGUUGGCGACACAUGCCUAAGAUAGUUGGCUGUCGCUAACGCCUCCGCCCAUAAUGACUUAGGUAGACCGGACUCGACAAGCAUAGCCCUAGUUUUGUCUAGGAGAGUGCGAUUUAAGCGUUCCGCUGCUCCGUUCUGCUCAGGGGUGUAGCCUACCGUAGUCCCGUGUACAAUACCCCUGGAAGCGAAAUAGGCCUUCGUGCGAGUAUUAACGAACUCCCCGCCACGAUCUGUACACACCUCCUUAACCUGCCUGCCAGUAGCGCGCUCCAGUUCCGCUAUCAUUACCACCAUCUUCUGAUAGACCUCCUCCUUGGUCGCUGUAAAACAACAGCUGAAAGACCGGUAUAAUCGUCAAGCAGAGUUAUCACGUAACACGAACCACUAGGCGAAGGUUCAGGCAUAGGUCCACACACAUCCAUUAACAGGCAGGCGGCUGGCAGAGGUUAAGGCCUGGCUUCUGCUCCCGACGCGUCCCGGCGCGUCUGGGUUCAAAUCCGCCUGCCGACCUCUCGGGGUGUUUGAGAGGUGAUGGGAGGUGGCCCCCCAUCUUGUGGACGGUGUAGGACGUGAUAAAAUCAACUCGCGAGCCGACCAGGAACUAAGUUGACGCGCCGUUGAUCCGCUAGACUUGGUUGGAUGCUGGUGGUGAGUUGCCAAACUCAAAGAGUACACUCUGAAGUCGGAUGGGGUGAAUGGCUUAGGGUGCCCCUCUAGCAGGGGAGAGCAGGGAAUUGCCUCGGGAAGGAGGCCACUGGUGAAGCGUAACCACCC
RNAcentral lists this long non-coding RNA (7680 nucleotides) under Volvox carteri. RNAcentral's name for it is "long non-coding RNA (VCAR_LNC000820)". The record is from RNAcentral. Lineage: Eukaryota; Viridiplantae; Chlorophyta; Chlorophyceae; Chlamydomonadales; Volvocaceae.